This 23-nucleotide ribosomal RNA is filed under the name Culex erraticus. RNAcentral describes it as "partial 28S ribosomal RNA". The record is from RNAcentral. Lineage: Eukaryota; Metazoa; Arthropoda; Insecta; Diptera; Culicidae.
CAGGCCUCAAAUAAUGUGUGACU